This is a long non-coding RNA of Clupea harengus (Atlantic herring), 2513 nucleotides long. The record is from Ensembl. Lineage: Eukaryota; Metazoa; Chordata; Actinopteri; Clupeiformes; Clupeidae.
UCAGGCACAAUGGGGGCUCUUGGAAUGACAGGCCGAUUCACUGCUUGUGUUCCAUUGGCCAGCCCUGAGAGGGUGGAGCCUUUUUGACAGGUAAAAUGGGUGUGUUACAUGGGGAGUCUGGGCAUGGUAUUAUCACUCCUUUAUCUUUUAGCGUUUUGAACACAGGGACUAUGCCUUCUAUAGCCUCCCUUCUUAGCGGAUAUUGUCAUGGUAAGGUCGAUGUGAACCUUAAGGUGUUAUCUCAACAGGAGCUACCCCCCCUUAUCUGGCCUACAUCUGCAGGCCCUCUAGACCACAACUCUUCAGGCAGACAAUCUAAACUCUAGCUACCACCGCGAUCAUAACAAUUACAGUGUAGUAGACAGGCUAGUACAGGUCGAUGCAAACAUAUGCGAGGAAAUUACUAGUAUUAAACCACUAGUGUUAAUCAACAUAAACAUGAGGAAAGUAAUGCUAGCAGGAACAUAAAAUUAUGCACUUACAUUAUCACACGGCAACACAAUGUUAACUUUAUGCUAGCAUAAUAAAUUGUAAGCACGUCCACUCGUGUUGGCGGCUAGCACAAAAAGGAAGUGGAAAGUUCGUGCGUGAGCGCAAAGCCUCAGUCCAAAGAGUGACGUAAGCUCACAGUCCAGCAGGGAGUUUUCCUCGAAAAAGUAUUUAAGGUAGCCAAUUGCAAGUUGUGCUUCUCUUUGAAUCUCCUCUGAAGAGUGGCAUCAUGGGGGCCUCAAAACAACUGUCAAAUGAUCUGAAAACAAAGAUUGUUUAGCUUUGUGUUUUAGGGGAAGGCUACAAAAAGUUAUCCCAGAGGUUUCAGUUGUCAGUUUCCACUGUGAGGAAUGUAAUCAAGAGAUGGAAGGCCACAGGCACAGUUCUUGUUAAGGCCAGAAGUGGCAGGACAAGACAAAUAUCGAAGGCAAAGGAUGGUCAGAAUGGUCAAAGACUACCAUCAGACCACCUCCAAAGUGCAUCGCUCAACAAUUCAGCGCACCUUGCACAAAGAACAGCUGUAUGAGAGAGUGAUGCGGAAGAAGCCAUUUCUGGACACACGCCACUUGCUGCCCACAGUCAAAUUUGGUGGGGGGGUCCAAAUGUAUGCACCUGUCUAAUUUUGUUAAGGUGCAUAUGGCAUAUUUUCUGUUUAUCCGAAAAACCUUAUUUAACUGCUGAAAUAGUACUUUGUCCAUGAAGUAUUAUAUAAAUGACAAAGAAGCUGCUGAUCCAAACGCCCAACAAUUAAUAAAUAAAAAUAAUGGAAAUUAUCAGGGGUGCCCGAACUUUUUCAUACGACUGUAUAAUGGUCUAUUGUUAAUCUAGGUAUCAACCUCAUCCAUCUUAACACACAAUUGAAAAAAUAAGUAGCUAGUUGGAAAAAGUCUGUUACUGUCUGAGCAGUGUGGAGCUGGAAGUUGGUUUACUGGACAUUAUAAAGACAGGUACCAACUACUGCCAACAACUGCCAACUUUAGAAUGUUGGCGUUAGUUGGAGAAUGUUGGCGUUUGUUGGGGCAGUGUGCAAGCUGCUUUAGGCUAUAAAUCGCCACAGGCAUAUGUACAUACAUCAUAUAUGUCUAUGAUAAUCGCUGCUAGACGCUCACUGUUCUUGUGCUCCCACAGCUCAUUCACUUUGAAAUACUGAAACGAAAUCUAAAUGAUCGAAAUAGUGCUUCUUUAACUACUAAUAUUGAAUUUGACCAUCAUUGAGAAAAACGGAACAGAAUCUGCAAAUAGCCUAGCAUAGCAUACUCAAACUACUGACAGAGAAGGCAAAUGUAAACAGCCAUCAAACACCUGCUUUCUAUAUUUGUAUAACAGUGAAAUACACACAUUCAAAUAUACACAUUUUUGUACAUAUACACAAUUUGAUAUAAGCAUGACCAAGACCAUGCCUAGUUUUCUUUGCCCUCCGUUAUCGCACCUUUUCAAAACUUUUCUGUUAGCCAAUUUCUGAUAUGCAGUAGCUAUGUAGAUACUAAAGCUAUCUUUGUUUAUUGUUUCCAUGGUAACAGGAGCCGUCUCCGUCUUUGCUUUUCUGUUGGCCAUUUCUGAUAUGCAGCACACGAAGGUACGAUAACGGAGGGCAAAGAAAACUAUGCAUGGUCUUGGUCAUUCUUAUAUCAAAUUGCAUGUCUAUGCUUCCUCAUGCCACAUGCCACUGGAAGAUCUAACUCCUACUGGAAUUCUGUACAUGUAGACCAAUCAGAUGUAUUUGUUUGUAUUUGAAUCUCUAACGGAUAAAUGAUGAUUCGUUAAUCUCUGUGCCCGCGAAAUCGCGGAGCGAGCUGUCAGUUGAAGUCUGCAGUCUGAGGAGAAAGGUAACAAGUUUGUCUGUUGCUCCAGUGAGGCGACUGCUUUCGGUGGAAACCAGCUGUGAUUUGGUGUACAUAUACCCACAGAUAGCCAAACCUCAACUGAAUAGGUAUUGAUAUAUAUUUGACUACAAAUCGUUUUUUUGUUUUUAUUUGUUGAGUGAUAAUUGCGUUCAGCUAGCGAUUUACAAAGUGAAGCUGACU